This 278-nucleotide long non-coding RNA is filed under the name Chinchilla lanigera (long-tailed chinchilla). Its description in RNAcentral is "lncRNA (ENSCLAG00000023842.1)". Lineage: Eukaryota; Metazoa; Chordata; Mammalia; Rodentia; Chinchillidae. The record is from RNAcentral.
UGAAAACCACACGUACAGAGGACAAACCCCUGGGGGGUAAGGGAGAGGCAGGGAGCCUGCAUUUAGACUUCCUCUCAGCUUGCAAGAUGCAUCACACAUGAAGAGGGCUUGGGGCUACCUGUAUACAGGUCUGGUCUGGGUUUCUAGUAGCACUGAGGAGAAGCUGCAGGUACUUCCAAGAGAGAUGCAUACCACCUGUGAGGCCCCGGACACCCACUCAUUGCUGUGUUGCUACUGGGAACACAAAGGAAGCCACACCAGGGCUGCCGUAGGGCCAG